AAGAAGCUACUAAGGGCAUAUGGUGGAUGCCUUGGCGUUAAGUGCCGAUGAAGGACGUAGUACACUGCGAUAAGCUUCGGGGAGUCGUGUGCAGACGUUAUAACCCGUAGAUAUCCGAAUGGGGAAACCCACGCAGGUGAACCUUGCGUAUCUCAUGCUGAACACAUAGGCAUGAGGAAGGGAACCCGGGGAACUGAAACAUCUUAUUACCCGGAGGAACAGAGAUUAUUCCGCUAGUAGUGGCGAGCGAACGCGGAUCAGCCCAAACCGUUUGUGCUUGCAUAAACGGGGUUGUAGGGCCUGGUAACAUGAGAGUUACAAACCAGUUGGUUAGCUGAAUGCUUCUGGAAAGAGCAACCACAGAGGGUGAUAGUCCCGUAAGCGAAAAUCAAUUGGCUCUCACCAGGUACCUGAGUACCACCGGGCACGCUAAUCCGGUGGGAAUCUAGGGAGUCCACUUCCUAAGGCUAAAUACACUUAACGACCGAUAGUGAACAAGUACCGUGAGGGAAAGGUGAAAAGUACCCCGGCGAGGGGAGUGAAAUAGAACCUGAAACCGUAUGCCUACAACCUGUCGAAGGGCGUCUGGCUUGCCUACGGGCGAGCUCGGCCUGACGGCGUGCCUUUUGGAGAAUGAGCCGGCGAGUUAAUCUUUGUGGCGAGCCUAAGGGAGUGACACCCGGAGGCGUAGCGAAAGCGAGUCUUAAUAGGGCGUAUAGUCGCAGGGAUUAGACACGAAACCUGGUGAGCUACCCAUGGCCAGGGUGAAGCGGGAUUAAGUCCCCGUGGAGGCCCGAACCCACCAAUGUUGCAAAAUUGGGGGAUGAGCUGUGGGUAGGGGUGAUAUGCCAAACGAACCAGGAGAUAGCUUGUUCUCCCCGAAAUAGCUUUAGGGCUAGCGUCGCGUGUUUAGUAUCGGAGGUAGAGCACUGGAGUGGCUAGGGGGCAAAUAGCUUACCAAACCACACCAAACUCCGAAUGCCGAUACUUUAGAAUGCGGCAGUUGGGCCACGGGGGAUGAGCUCCGUGGUCGAGAGGGAAACAACCCAGACCAUCGGCUAAGGUCCCUAAGUUAGAGCUAAGUGGAAAACGAUGUGGGACUACUCAGACAGCCAGGAGGUUGGCUUAGAAGCAGCCAUCCUUGAAAGAGUGCGUAACAGCUCACUGGUCAAGUGGUCCUGCGCGGAUAAUGUAACGGGGCUAAGCUCUGCACCGAAGCCAUGGGUUCUGUCACGCUAUAUGCGUGAAUGAGCAGUAGGGGAGCGUUCCGUAUGCGUUGAAGGUUGACCGUGAGGACAGCUGGAGCGUACGGAAGUGAGAAUGCCGGCAUGAGUAGCGUAAAACAUGUGAGAAUCAUGUUCGCCGUAAGUCUAAGGUUUCCGACGGAAGGGUGUUCCACGUCGGGUUAGUCGGUCCUAAGCUGAGGCCGAGAGGCGUAAGCGAUGGAUAUCCGGUUAAUAUUCCGGAACCUCCUGAGAGGAGCGAAGUGGUGACGCAGAACGGUAGGCCAGCCGACCCAUUGGACAUGGUCGGUGCUAAACGUGUAGGUGUUGAGACUCGUAGGAAAAUCCGCGAGUUGAGCUGAGGCGUGAUGGCGUGGCUCUAAGCCUGAAGUGGUUGAGCCGAUCUGCCAAGAAAAUCCUCGUAGUGUUGAAUCUCAGGUGACCGUACCGCAAACCGACACUGGUAGACGAGUAGAGAAUACUAAGGCGAGCGAGAGAACCUUCGUUAAGGAACUAGGCAAAAUGGCCCCGUAACUUCGGGAGAAGGGGCGCCCUUUAACGUGAAAUGCAUACGCAUUAAGCGUAGGAGGGCCGCAGUGAAAUGGCUCUGGUGACUGUUUAACAAAAACACAGGUCCCUGCUAAAGCGUAAGCUGAUGUAUAGGGGCUGACGCCUGCCCAGUGCCGGAAGGUUAAAGUGAGGGGUUAAUCAUCUUCGGAUGGUGAAGCUCUGAGCUGAAGCCCCGGUGAACGGCGGCCGUAACUAUAACGGUCCUAAGGUAGCGAAAUUCCUUGUCGGGUAAGUUCCGACCUGCACGAAAGGCGUAACAACUGGAGCGCUGUCUCAACGAAGGACUCGGCGAAAUUGAAGUAUGCGUAAAGAUGCGUAUUACCCGCAGCAGGACAAAAAGACCCCGGCAGCUUUACUAUAGCUUGGCAUUGAGUUUGGGCUUAAUCUGUCCAGAAUAGGUGGGAGGCUGUGAAACUGGAGCGCUAGCUUCGGUGGAGCCAAUCUUGGGAUACCACCCUGAUUAAGUUUAGACCCUAACCUCAGACCGUAAUCCGGCUGGGGGACCGUGCCAGGUGGGUAGUUUGACUGGGGCGGUCGCCUCCAAAAAGGUAACGGAGGCGCCCAAAGGUUCCCUCAGGCUGAAUGGAAACCAGCCGUAGAGUGCAAAGGCAUAAGGGAGCUUGACUGCAAGACCUACAAGUCGCGCAGAGACGAAAGUCGGGCUUAGUGAUCCCACGGUUCCGAGUGGAAGGGCCGUGGCUCAACGGAUAAAAGCUACGCCGGGGAUAACAGGCUAGUCUUGCCCAAGAGUUCACAUCGACGGCAAGGCUCGGCACCUCGAUGUCGGCUCAUCGCAUCCUGGGGCUGGAUAAGGUCCCAAGGGUUGGGCUGUUCGCCCAUUAAAGCGGUACGUGAGCUGGGUUCAGACCGUCGUGAGACAGGUCGGUCUCUAUCCGCUGUGGGCGCAGGGAAUUUGAAGGGAGCUGCUCCUAGUACGAGAGGACCGGAGUGGACAGACCUCUGGUGUGUCAGUUGUCGUGCCAACGGCAUCGCUGAGUAGCUACGUCUGGCAAGGAUAACCGCUGAAAGCAUCUAAGUGGGAAACCUGCCCUAAGAUUAGAUUCCCCAAACCUUGUGUUUGUAAGACCGCAGGAAGACUACCUGCUUGAUAGGCGACCAGGUGUAAGCACAGUAAUGUGUGAGCCUAGGCGUACUAAUGGUCGAGAGGCUUCACCAA
This 2970-nucleotide ribosomal RNA is filed under the name Anaerolineaceae bacterium. Its description in RNAcentral is "bacterial LSU rRNA". It matches the Rfam family "Bacterial large subunit ribosomal RNA". The record is from RNAcentral. Lineage: Bacteria; Bacillati; Chloroflexota; Anaerolineae; Anaerolineales; Anaerolineaceae.